This 495-nucleotide long non-coding RNA is filed under the name Rattus norvegicus (Norway rat). RNAcentral describes it as "long non-coding RNA NONRATT005316". Lineage: Eukaryota; Metazoa; Chordata; Mammalia; Rodentia; Muridae. The record is from RNAcentral.
AAGGUCUCGCUAUGGUGGUGCAAGACCCGCUGCUCUGCGACCUUCCGAUCCAGGUUACUUUAGAAGAGGUCAACUCCCAGAUCGCACUGGAAUAUGGCCAGGCGAUGACUGUCCGUGUGUGCAAGAUGGAUGGAGAGGUAAUGCGUCCUAUGUGUGGCGGACGUACCAUCUGACCUCAGCUGGGGAGAAGCUCACAGAGGACAGGAAGAAGCUCAGAGACUAUGGCAUCCGGAACCGAGAUGAGGUUUCCUUUAUCAAGAAGCUUAGGCAAAAGUGAACACCAGACACAUGGAGCUGACCUUCCCCAGCAAGAUGGCGCCCUUUGCUUGUCCUCAGGGGAAAGGGUGUUGGUGUAGCUGCAUCCCUGGAGUGCCCAGGUGGAAUGUGGGAAAUUCCUCUGCCCUUUAUUUCCCUUUGAACUUGGCCCGAGGGUCCUAUGUGGUUGUGGGCCUGGACUACAGAAUAAAUAUGUUUGCUUUGUAUCUUGUAAAAACC